ACUUGAAUAGCUUAUGUUUAGAGCGCGACGUUGAAGAUGUUGAUGAGGUAGAUUGUAACCUUUAAGUA
This 68-nucleotide transfer RNA is filed under the name Inquilinitermes inquilinus. Its description in RNAcentral is "tRNA-Phe". The record is from RNAcentral. Lineage: Eukaryota; Metazoa; Arthropoda; Insecta; Blattodea; Termitidae.